UACGAAGGGUGCAAGCGUUAAUCGGAAUUACUGGGCGUAAAGCGUGCGUAGGCGGUUCGUUAAGUCUGUCGUGAAAGCCCUGGGCUCAACCUGGGAAUGGCGAUGGAUACUGGCGAGCUAGAGUGUGAUAGAGGAUGGCGGAAUUCCCGGUGUAGCGGUGAAAUGCGUAGAGAUCGGGAGGAACAUCUGUGGCGAAGGCGGCCAUCUGAAUCAACACUGACGCUGAGGCACGAAAGCGUGGGGAGCAAACAGG
This 253-nucleotide ribosomal RNA is filed under the name uncultured bacterium. RNAcentral describes it as "partial 16S ribosomal RNA". It matches the Rfam family "Bacterial small subunit ribosomal RNA", at positions 524 to 776 of the family's 1533-position model. The record is from RNAcentral.